RNAcentral lists this ribosomal RNA (253 nucleotides) under uncultured bacterium. RNAcentral describes it as "partial 16S ribosomal RNA". It matches the Rfam family "Bacterial small subunit ribosomal RNA", at positions 524 to 776 of the family's 1533-position model. The record is from RNAcentral.
UACGUAGGGUGCGAGCGUUGUCCGGAAUUAUUGGGCGUAAAGGGCUCGUAGGCGGUUUGUCACGUCGGGAGUGAAAACUCGGGGCUCAACCCCGAGCCUGCUUCCGAUACGGGCAGACUAGAGGUAUGCAGGGGAGAAUGGAAUUCCUGGUGUAGCGGUGAAAUGCGCAGAUAUCAGGAGGAACACCGGUGGCGAAGGCGGUUCUCUGGGCAUUACCUGACGCUGAGGAGCGAAAGUGUGGGGAGCAAACAGG